Molecule: ribosomal RNA, 1234 nt
Filed under: Klebsiella pneumoniae
Lineage: Bacteria; Pseudomonadati; Pseudomonadota; Gammaproteobacteria; Enterobacterales; Enterobacteriaceae
Description: partial 23S ribosomal RNA
Rfam family: Bacterial large subunit ribosomal RNA
Source: RNAcentral
CAACCGAGAUUCCCCCAGUAGCGGCGAGCGAACGGGGAGCAGCCCAGAGUCUGAAUCAGCUUGUGUGUUAGUGGAACGGUCUGGAAAGUCCGACGGUACAGGGUGAUAGUCCCGUACACCAAAAUGCACAGGUUGUGAACUCGAAGAGUAGGGCGGGACACGUGGUAUCCUGUCUGAAUAUGGGGGGACCAUCCUCCAAGGCUAAAUACUCCUGACUGACCGAUAGUGAACCAGUACCGUGAGGGAAAGGCGAAAAGAACCCCGGCGAGGGGAGUGAAAAAGAACCUGAAACCGUGUACGUACAAGCAGUGGGAGCACCUUCGGGUGUGACUGCGUACCUUUUGUAUAAUGGGUCAGCGACUUAUAUUCUGUAGCAAGGUUAACCGUAUAGGGGAGCCGCAGGGAAACCGAGUCUUAACUGGGCGUUAAGUUGCAGGGUAUAGACCCGAAACCCGGUGAUCUAGCCAUGGGCAGGUUGAAGGUUGGGUAACACUAACUGGAGGACCGAACCGACUAAUGUUGAAAAAUUAGCGGAUGACUUGUGGCUGGGGGUGAAAGGCCAAUCAAACCGGGAGAUAGCUGGUUCUCCCCGAAAGCUAUUUAGGUAGCGCCUCGUGAACUCAUCUUCGGGGGUAGAGCACUGUUUCGGCUAGGGGGUCAUCCCGACUUACCAACCCGAUGCAAACUACGAAUACCGAAGAAUGUUAUCACGGGAGACACACGGCGGGUGCUAACGUCCGUCGUGAAGAGGGAAACAACCCAGACCGCCAGCUAAGGUCCCAAAGUCAUGGUUAAGUGGGAAACGAUGUGGGAAGGCACAGACAGCCAGGAUGUUGGCUUAGAAGCAGCCAUCAUUUAAAGAAAGCGUAAUAGCUCACUGGUCGAGUCGGCCUGCGCGGAAGAUGUAACGGGGCUAAACCAUGCACCGAAGCUGCGGCAGCGACACUAUGUGUUGUUGGGUAGGGGAGCGUUCUGUAAGCCUGCGAAGGUGACCUGUGAGGGUUGCUGGAGGUAUCAGAAGUGCGAAUGCUGACAUAAGUAACGAUAAAGCGGGUGAAAAGCCCGCUCGCCGGAAGACCAAGGGUUCCUGUCCAACGUUAAUCGGGGCAGGGUGAGUCGACCCCUAAGGCGAGGCCGAAAGGCGUAGUCGAUGGGAAACAGGUUAAUAUUCCUGUACUUGGUGUUACUGCGAAGGGGGGACGGAGAAGGCUAUGUUAGCCGGGCGACGGUUGUC